Non-coding RNA from Sorex araneus (European shrew), 405 nucleotides. NCBI's taxonomy places the organism in Eukaryota, Metazoa, Chordata, Mammalia, Eulipotyphla, Soricidae. The record is from the annotation of a RefSeq genome assembly.
AUGACCUGGGCUCUUCUCCUGCUCAGCCUCCUCAGUCAGGGCCCAGGAAUCAGGGCCCAGAAUGUCCUGACUCAGCCUCCCUCAGUGUCUGGGACUCCAGGACAGACAGUCACCAUCUCCUGUACAGGAACCAGCAAUGACAUUGGAGCAUAUAACUAUGUCUCCUGGUACCAGCAGCAGGAGGGCACAGCCCCCAAAAUGCUGAUAUAUGAUGUCAAUAAUCGGCCGUCAGGGAUCCCUGAUCGCUUUUCUGGCUCCAAGUCUGGCAACACAGCGACCCUGACCAUCUCUGGGCUCAAGCCUGAGGAUGAGGCUGAUUACUACUGUGGCCAAUAUUUCUCCUCCUCAACUCUCUACAUAAAAAAAAAAAAAGUACAGUCCAUGUCAACACAUUUGCCUUGUUAG